This is a non-coding RNA of Kogia breviceps (pygmy sperm whale), 878 nucleotides long. The record is from RefSeq and is a predicted model, not a curated record. Lineage: Eukaryota; Metazoa; Chordata; Mammalia; Artiodactyla; Physeteridae.
ACCGCCCCCUCAGCUUCUCUCUGCUCAGCCCACACUGCGACGCGCUGCUCGCGCACCCCGCAGCACUGACAGCGGCACGAGCCCCGCAGCCGCGAGUCCUUCCCUUGGCCGGCACCACUGAGGCGCGCCGGGGUGGGGGCGUCCGGAGCGGCUUCCCUCAACUCGACCCCGCCCGCCACUCCGGCCCUGGCCCCGCCACCCCCUGCCCCCCGCCUCUGUCUCCAGAGACGGGCCCAGCGACUCAAGCGCGAGGAGUCCGCAGCCCCGCCGUGACACAGCCCGGCCCCCGAGGCGCAGAGUUCUCCUGUCGAAAACUCUUACCUAAAUCAGUGUUCCAGCCUCCACGGAACAGCUGGAGGGGUCUUACCAGAGCACACGAGGAUGAACCUGCCUAAGAGACCGGAUUCCUGAGCACGAAGCAGAGUUUGAAAUGAAUCCUGCCUGGCUCAGCCAGACCAGCAGUUAUAGCUACACUUGUGUUGUUUGAUGACCUGUCACUGCUUCAAAAGGAAGAAAAAUCAAAUUAGAGAAAUGGUGACAACUGAGACCAAGGCCAGGAAUGUUCUUCCCCCACCUGUUCUAACGCCUCAGGUCUCUGCUUAAAUAUCACCUCCUCAGAAAGGCCUUCCCUGAACACCCAGCUUAAAGAUGUUCUCUAGUUUGACCUCUUGUUCAUUUCCUUCAUGGCAUUUCUUAGUCUUGCCAUUUACUGAUCUAUUUAUGUGUUUUUGCCCAUGUUCCUCACUAGAAGGUAAGUUCCAUGAGACCAGUAAUCUUUGACUGUUGUGUACGGCACUGUGUCACCAGAUUUAGUGUUCAAUAAAAACUUGACUGGAUGAAUGAGUCAGUCAACCAAUUAAUGAAUCUGGCACCGGGCU